UCCCAAAAAUAAACGUACCCAGUUCGGAUUGCAGUCUGCAACUCGAGUGCAUGAAGCUGGAAUCGCUAGUAAUCGCGGAUCAGAAUGCCACGGUGAAUACGUUCCCGGGUCUUGUACACACCGCCCGUCACACCAUGGGAGCUGGUAACACCCGAAGUCAGUAGUCUAACCGCAAGGAGGACGCUGCCGAAGGCGGGAUUAGCGACUGGGGUGAAGUCGUAACAAGGUAAC
This 231-nucleotide ribosomal RNA is filed under the name uncultured bacterium. RNAcentral's name for it is "partial 16S ribosomal RNA". It matches the Rfam family "Bacterial small subunit ribosomal RNA", at positions 1272 to 1500 of the family's 1533-position model. The record is from RNAcentral.